AAUGAACGUUGGCGGCGUGGAUUAGGCAUGCAAGUCGAGCGAGAACCCGCAAGGGGGACAGCGGCAAACGGGGUAGUAAUGUGUCGGAACGUGCCCUCUGGACGGGGAUAGCGGCGGGAAACUGCCGGUAAUACCCGAUGAACUCGAGAGAGCAAAGGUGUGAUUCCGCCGGAGGAGCGGCCGACAUGGUAUUAGCUAGUUGGCGGGGUAACGGCCCACCAAGGCUGUGAUGCCUAGGGGAUGUGAGAGCAUGAUCCCCACCAUUGGGACUGAGACACUGCCCAGACACCUACGGGUGGCUGCAGUCGAGAAUCUUCGUCAAUGGGCGAAAGCCUGAACGAGCGACGCCGCGUGCGGGAUGAAGGCCCUUGGGUUGUAAACCGCUGUCGAGGGGAUGAAGGCUUGAAGGUACUCCUUCAAGUUUGACAGAGCCCUGGAGGAAGCACGGGCUAAGUUCGUG
This 460-nucleotide ribosomal RNA is filed under the name uncultured bacterium. RNAcentral describes it as "bacterial SSU rRNA". It matches the Rfam family "Bacterial small subunit ribosomal RNA", at positions 29 to 507 of the family's 1533-position model. The record is from RNAcentral.